AAUCAUAUAACCAUUGAAGGAGUCCACCCGAAAGAACCUCCGCUUUCUGAAGAACCACACCGAAGCCCCGCUGGGUGUGUCAUGAGCUGUUUACACC
Molecule: long non-coding RNA, 97 nt
Organism: Belonocnema kinseyi
Lineage: Eukaryota; Metazoa; Arthropoda; Insecta; Hymenoptera; Cynipidae
Exons: 3
Source: RefSeq, a predicted model, not a curated record